UACAGAGGUCUCAAGCGUUGUUCGGAUUCAUUGGGCGUAAAGGGUGCGUAGGCGGCUCGGUCAGUCGGGUGUGAAAUCCCUGGGCUCAACCUGGGAACUGCAUUCGAUACUGCCGAGCUAGAGUGUGGGAGAGGGUAGUGGAAUUCCCGGUGUAGCGGUGAAAUGCGUAGAUAUCGGGAGGAACAUCAGUGGCGAAGGCGACUGCCUGGCCCAACACUGACGCUGAGAUGCGAAAGCGUGGGUAGCAAACAGG
This 253-nucleotide ribosomal RNA is filed under the name uncultured bacterium. RNAcentral describes it as "partial 16S ribosomal RNA". It matches the Rfam family "Bacterial small subunit ribosomal RNA", at positions 524 to 776 of the family's 1533-position model. The record is from RNAcentral.